RNAcentral lists this long non-coding RNA (536 nucleotides) under Salmo salar (Atlantic salmon). Its description in RNAcentral is "lncRNA (ENSSSAG00000102154.1)". The record is from RNAcentral. Lineage: Eukaryota; Metazoa; Chordata; Actinopteri; Salmoniformes; Salmonidae.
GAGAGACUGGGUUCUGACAGAAUUCCGUAGCGGUAAAGCUCCUAUCCUCAUCGCCACUGAUGUGGCGUCUCGUGGUCUGGCACAAGGCAGCUCCAGCACAUGCUGGUGUCAGACAGUACUGGGGCUGCCCUCAGUCAUGUUAGCAGCUAGCUAGUGGCUUGUCUAGUUACCAGAAGGAUACACCCCCCCAUUCUCCACCUUCUCUGGUUCCUAAACACCCCAAAUAGACCCCCACAAUAAACUGAGGGUAUAUGAUUAUCUGGUUCCUAAACACCCCCAUAGACCCCCAUCAUAGACUGAGGGUAUGUGAUUCCAGCGAGCUCUCCUUGGGAUCAACCUGAGGUGCCUGUUUGUCUGUCCCUCCGUCCGUCCAAAAGGCAGACAGACAGGGAGAGUUAGGAGCUCGGCUGGAUCGAGUCCUGAUUGAUCUGCGGAGGUCCUGCAACUCGGCGAGAGAGCAACAGAACCGGCCGUUGGGGGGGGGUGGGUUAGCGGUUCUGCUCCUGUCCGACGUUGCUGGUGUAUGCGAAGGGUGA